UACGAAGGGGGCUAGCGUUGUUCGGAAUCACUGGGCGUAAAGCGCACGUAGGCGGAUCUUUAAGUCAGGGGUGAAAUCCCGAGGCUCAACCUCGGAACUGCCUUUGAUACUGGGGAUCUCGAGUCCGGGAGAGGUGAGUGGAAUUGCGAGUGUAGAGGUGAAAUUCGUAGAUAUUCGCAAGAACACCAGUGGCGAAGGCGGCUCACUGGCCCGGUACUGACGCUGAGGUGCGAAAGCGUGGGGAGCAA
RNAcentral lists this ribosomal RNA (248 nucleotides) under uncultured bacterium. RNAcentral's name for it is "partial 16S ribosomal RNA". It matches the Rfam family "Bacterial small subunit ribosomal RNA", at positions 524 to 771 of the family's 1533-position model. The record is from RNAcentral.